RNAcentral lists this non-coding RNA (28 nucleotides) under Macaca fascicularis (crab-eating macaque). RNAcentral also lists the same sequence under 1 other name. Lineage: Eukaryota; Metazoa; Chordata; Mammalia; Primates; Cercopithecidae. The record is from RNAcentral.
UCCCCAUGGACCUGGACCUCAGAGGCCU